This 376-nucleotide ribosomal RNA is filed under the name uncultured bacterium. Its description in RNAcentral is "bacterial SSU rRNA". It matches the Rfam family "Bacterial small subunit ribosomal RNA", at positions 523 to 898 of the family's 1533-position model. The record is from RNAcentral.
AUACGGAGGGUGCAAGCGUUGUUCGGAAUUAUUGGGCGUAAAGGGCGCGUAGGCGGUAAUGAAAGUCAGAUGUGAAAUACUUCGGCUCAACUGAAGAACUGCAUCUGAAACUUCAUAACUAGAGUACGGAAGAGGGAAAUGGAAUUCCCGGUGUAGAGGUGAAAUUCGUAGAUAUCGGGAGGAACACCAGUGGCGAAGGCGAUUUCCUGGUCUGGUACUGACGCUGAGGCGCGAAAGUGUGGGGAGCAAACAGGAUUAGAUACCCUGGUAGUCCACACUGUAAACGGUGAACACUAGGUGUGGGAGGUGUAAUACCUUCUGUGCCGUAGUUAACGCGUUAAGUGUUCCGCCUGGGAAGUACGGCCGCAAGGUUGAA